GAAAACCUGCUUAAAUUUUUGUAUUUGUUCUAUUCUCCACCUUUAUAAAUGUAUUUUUAGAUUGAUAUUAAUUAGAUAGCAAUAUUUAAUUUCUUACAAACCUUCGAUCAUUUUAUAAAACAUAUAAAUAUAAGAAUAUCUCUUAGAAUAGAUUCAGCCAUGAAGCAUUUAUUCUAAAUCGGUGACACAGAAUCGGAGGCCUCGACUGUUUAAUAAAAACACAUCUCAGUGCAAUGAUGAAAAUCAUAGUAUACUGAGUGAAAUUUGCUCGAUGCCAUUAAUAUAAGAGAGGUCAUAGAAAUGUGACUAAUGAAAGUCUGGUUAAUAGCGGUCUUAACUAUGAGGAUCCUAAGGUAGCAAAAUCAAUUGGCCAUUAAAUGUGGUCCCAGUAUCAAUAGUGUAACGAAGGUCUCACUGUCUCUACAACUUGCUCAGGAAAUUGAAU
Molecule: ribosomal RNA, 445 nt
Filed under: Resinicium meridionale
Lineage: Eukaryota; Fungi; Basidiomycota; Agaricomycetes; Hymenochaetales
Description: partial large subunit ribosomal RNA
Rfam family: Bacterial large subunit ribosomal RNA (bases 127-417)
Source: RNAcentral